This 497-nucleotide ribosomal RNA is filed under the name uncultured bacterium. Its description in RNAcentral is "partial 16S ribosomal RNA". It matches the Rfam family "Bacterial small subunit ribosomal RNA", at positions 28 to 507 of the family's 1533-position model. The record is from RNAcentral.
GAUGAACGCUGGCGGCGUGCCUAAUACAUGCAAGUCGAGCGAACAGAUAAGGAGCUUGCUCCUUUGACGUUAGCGGCGGACGGGUGAGUAACACGUGGGUAACCUACCUAUAAGACUGGAAUAACUCCGGGAAACCGGGGCUAAUGCCGGAUAACAUUUAGAACCGCAUGGUUCUAAAGUGAAAGAUGGUUUUGCUAUCACUUAUAGAUGGACCCGCGCCGUAUUAGCUAGCUGGUAAGGUAACGGCUUACCAAGGCAACGAUACGUAGCCGACCUGAGAGGGUGAUCGGCCACACUGGAACUGAGACACGGUCCAGACUCCUACGGGAGGCAGCAGUAGGGAAUCUUACGCAAUGGGCGAAAGCCUGACGGAGCAACGCCGCGUGAGUGAUGAAGGUCUUCGGCUCGUAAAACUCUGUUAUUAGGGAAGAACAAAUGUGUAAGUAACUGUGCACGUCUUGACGGUACCUAAUCAGAAAGCCACGGCUAACUACGUG